AGGACGAACGCUGGCGGCGCGCUUAACACAUGCAAGUCGAACGUGAAGCCCGGGCUUGCCUGGGUGGAAAGUGGCGAACGGGUGCGUAACACGUGAGCAACCUGCCCCGAAGACCGGGAUAACAGCGGGAAACCGCUGCUAAUACCGGAUGCCCUCAUCAUGUCGCAUGGCGAGAUGAGGAAAUGGAUUCCGCUUCGGGAUGGGCUCGCGGUCUAUCAGCUUGUUGGUGAGGUAAUGGCUCACCAAGGCUACGACGGAUAGCUGGUCUGAGAGGAUGUCCAGCCACACUGGGACUGAGACACGGCCCAGACUCCUACGGGAGGCAGCAGUGGGGAAUCUUGCACAAUGGGCGAAAGCCUGAUGCAGCGACGCCGCGUGCGGGAUGACGGCCUUCGGGUUGUAAACCUCUUUCAGCAGGGAAGAAGCGAAAGUGACGGUACCUGCAGAAGAAGCACCGGCUAACUACGUGCCAGCAGCCGUA
RNAcentral lists this ribosomal RNA (481 nucleotides) under uncultured bacterium. RNAcentral describes it as "SSU rRNA". It matches the Rfam family "Bacterial small subunit ribosomal RNA", at positions 26 to 519 of the family's 1533-position model. The record is from RNAcentral.